RNAcentral lists this ribosomal RNA (119 nucleotides) under Pteropus alecto (black flying fox). The record is from RNAcentral. Lineage: Eukaryota; Metazoa; Chordata; Mammalia; Chiroptera; Pteropodidae.
GUCUACGGCCAUGCCACUCUGAACAAGCCCAAUCCCGUCUGGUCUCGGAAGCUAAACAGGAUCGGGCCUGGUUAGUACUUGGACGGGAGACCACCUAGGAAGACCAGGUGCUGUAGGCA